This 723-nucleotide ribosomal RNA is filed under the name Escherichia coli. RNAcentral's name for it is "partial 23S ribosomal RNA". It matches the Rfam family "Bacterial large subunit ribosomal RNA", at positions 2208 to 2925 of the family's 2925-position model. Lineage: Bacteria; Pseudomonadati; Pseudomonadota; Gammaproteobacteria; Enterobacterales; Enterobacteriaceae. The record is from RNAcentral.
UAAUGUUUGAUGUUCUAACGUUGACCCGUAAUCCGGGUUGCGGACAGUGUCUGGUGGGUAGUUUGACUGGGGCGGUCUCCUCCUAAAGAGUAACGGAGGAGCACGAAGGUUGGCUAAUCCUGGUCGGACAUCAGGAGGUUAGUGCAAUGGCAUAAGCCAGCUUGACUGCGAGCGUGACGGCGCGAGCAGGUGCGAAAGCAGGUCAUAGUGAUCCGGUGGUUCUGAAUGGAAGGGCCAUCGCUCAACGGAUAAAAGGUACUCCGGGGAUAACAGGCUGAUACCGCCCAAGAGUUCAUAUCGACGGCGGUGUUUGGCACCUCGAUGUCGGCUCAUCACAUCCUGGGGCUGAAGUAGGUCCCAAGGGUAUGGCUGUUCGCCAUUUAAAGUGGUACGCGAGCUGGGUUUAGAACGUCGUGAGACAGUUCGGUCCCUAUCUGCCGUGGGCGCUGGAGAACUGAGGGGGGCUGCUCCUAGUACGAGAGGACCGGAGUGGACGCAUCACUGGUGUUCGGGUUGUCAUGCCAAUGGCACUGCCCGGUAGCUAAAUGCGGAAGAGAUAAGUGCUGAAAGCAUCUAAGCACGAAACUUGCCCCGAGAUGAGUUCUCCCUGACCCUUUAAGGGUCCUGAAGGAACGUUGAAGACGACGACGUUGAUAGGCCGGGUGUGUAAGCGCAGCGAUGCGUUGAGCUAACCGGUACUAAUGAACCGUGAGGCUUAACCUU